This 423-nucleotide ribosomal RNA is filed under the name uncultured bacterium. RNAcentral describes it as "bacterial SSU rRNA". It matches the Rfam family "Bacterial small subunit ribosomal RNA", at positions 355 to 776 of the family's 1533-position model. The record is from RNAcentral.
UGAGGAAUAUUGGUCAAUGGCCGGAAGGCUGAACCAGCCAAGCCGCGUGAGGGAAGAAGGCGCUAAGCGUCGUAAACCUCUUUUGCCGGGGAACAAACGCUUCUGUUAUGGGGAGUCUGAGUGUACCCGGAGAAAAAGCAUCGGCUAACUCCGUGCCAGCAGCCGCGGUAAUACGGAGGAUGCAAGCGUUAUCCGGAUUUAUUGGGUUUAAAGGGUGCGCAGGCGGUUUUUUAAGUCAGCGGUAAAAUCGCGGGGCUCAACCUCGCCGAGCCGUUGAAACUGGGGAACUGGAGAGAGCGAGAGGUAUGCGGAAUGCGCGGUGUAGCGGUGAAAUGCUUAGAUAUCGCGCAGAACUCCGAUUGCGAAGGCAGCAUACUGGUGCUUUUCUGACGCUGAGGCACGAAAGCGUGGGUAUCGAACAGG